AAAACAUCUCUUUAUGAUUAAAAUAAUAAGUUGACUCUGCCCAAUGAAUAUUUUAAUGGCUGCAGUAUUUUAACUGUACAAAGGUAGCAUAAUAAAUUGUUUUUUAAAUGAAAACUAGUAUGAAGGAGGUGAUGAAAUAUAUACUUUAUUAUAUUUAUAAUUUGAAUUUUAUUUUAAAGUAAAAAAGCUUUAAUUAUUUUAAGGGACGAGAAGACCCUAUAGAAUUUUAUAUUAAGUUUUAUAUUUAAUAUAAAAUUUAAUAUUUAUUUGGGAGGAAUAUUAAAUUUUUAAACUUUAAUUGUUAAUUAACAUUUAUAUAUGAAUAAAGUAGAUUUUAUUAAUUAAAUUUAAAAUUAAAUUACCUUAGGGAUAACAGCGUAAUAUUUUUUUAUAGUUCUUAUUGAAAAUAAUGUUU
This 415-nucleotide ribosomal RNA is filed under the name Epyris sp. RNAcentral's name for it is "partial large subunit ribosomal RNA". The record is from RNAcentral. Lineage: Eukaryota; Metazoa; Arthropoda; Insecta; Hymenoptera; Bethylidae.